CUCCUCUCAGGAUUGCACCUGGAGAAUUUCCAGUACUCUUCCAGUCUCAGCUAUGGGAGAGAGAGUCAAGCAGAGGCCUACCCAUUCCAUUCCUAGCAUGGGCAGUGGCUAGCGAGUGGAUGGCAAUCUGCUACAAGU
This 138-nucleotide small nucleolar RNA is filed under the name Ornithorhynchus anatinus (platypus). The record is from RNAcentral. Lineage: Eukaryota; Metazoa; Chordata; Mammalia; Monotremata; Ornithorhynchidae.